Molecule: ribosomal RNA, 496 nt
Filed under: uncultured bacterium
Lineage: Bacteria
Description: partial 16S ribosomal RNA
Rfam family: Bacterial small subunit ribosomal RNA
Source: RNAcentral
AUUGAACGCUGGCGGCAGGCCUAACACAUGCAAGUCGAGCGGAAGAAGACUUCGGUCUUCGAGAGCGGCGGACGGGUGAGUAACGCGUGGGAAUCUGGCUCUUAGAGGGGGACAACUCGUGGAAACGCAAGCUAAUACCGCAUACGCCCUAAGGGGGAAAGCAGGGGAUCUUCGGACCUUGCGCUAAGAGAUGAGCCCGCGUCGGAUUAGCUAGUUGGUGGGGUAAAGGCCUACCAAGGCGACGAUCCGUAACUGGUCUGAGAGGAUGAUCAGUCAGACUGGAACUGAGACACGGUCCAGACUCCUACGGGAGGCAGCAGUGGGGAAUAUUGGACAAUGGGGGCAACCCUGAUCCAGCCAAGCCGCGUGUGUGAAGAAGACCUUCGGGUUGUAAAGCACUUUAAGUUGGGAGGAGAGGGUUGUGGCUAAUAUCCAUAAUCUAUGACGUUACCAACAGAAUAAGCACCGGCUAACUCCGUGCCAGCAGCCGCGGUAA